Molecule: microRNA precursor, 191 nt
Filed under: Hordeum vulgare
Lineage: Eukaryota; Viridiplantae; Streptophyta; Magnoliopsida; Poales; Poaceae
Description: miR6200 stem-loop (hvu-MIR6200)
Source: miRBase by way of RNAcentral
UUGGGCUUUGUUUGGCCAACUAGAUCUAUGAUUCUUGCAAUGGGAGAAGUGCUUGGUUUUGGGUUCAUACCGUGCGGUGACCUUUCCCAGUGACAGAAGGGGCAGCAAGGCACACAUCAUGUUGUUGCCAUCAGGGUAACAAGAUGGGCUUUCAUCAUAGAUUUCAGAUUGUCCAUCUACAUCAUGUCAUC